UACGUAGGGGGCAAGCGUUGUCCGGAUUUACUGGGCGUAAAGAGCGCGUAGGCGGAAACGCCAGUCCGGCUUGAAAGCCCCCGGCUCAACCGGGGAGAGUGGCUGGAAACUGCGUUUCUUGAGGGCGAGAGAGGAGGGUGGAAUUCCUGGUGUAGCGGUGAAAUGCGCAGAUAUCAGGAGGAACACCGGUGGCGAAGGCGGAUCUCUGGGCCGUAACUGACGCUGAGGAGCGAAAGCAUGGGGAGCGAACAGG
RNAcentral lists this ribosomal RNA (253 nucleotides) under uncultured bacterium. Its description in RNAcentral is "partial 16S ribosomal RNA". It matches the Rfam family "Bacterial small subunit ribosomal RNA", at positions 524 to 776 of the family's 1533-position model. The record is from RNAcentral.